AUGCAAGUAUGAACUAUUUCGAAUUGUGAAACUGUGAAUGGAUCAUUAAAUCAUUUAUAGUUUGUUUGAUGGCACGUGCUACUCGGAUAACAGUGCUGAUUCUUGAGCUAAUAUGUGCAAAAAAACCUGACUACCGGGAGGGGUGCAUUUAUUAGAUAAAAGGCUGAUGUGGAUUCUGCCCGCUGAUCCGAUGAUUCAUAAAAGCUCGAUGGAUUGCAUGGCCCUCGUGCCCAAGGCCGUGGAGAACUUUUACUACUAUAACCAAUACCUUUUUAAUCCUCAUAUUUGUGAC
RNAcentral lists this non-coding RNA (292 nucleotides) under Setaria italica (foxtail millet). RNAcentral describes it as "rRNA SSU_rRNA_eukarya". It matches the Rfam family "Eukaryotic small subunit ribosomal RNA", at positions 57 to 341 of the family's 1831-position model. The record is from Rfam by way of RNAcentral. Lineage: Eukaryota; Viridiplantae; Streptophyta; Magnoliopsida; Poales; Poaceae.